This 380-nucleotide ribosomal RNA is filed under the name uncultured eukaryote. RNAcentral's name for it is "partial 18S ribosomal RNA". It matches the Rfam family "Eukaryotic small subunit ribosomal RNA", at positions 592 to 976 of the family's 1831-position model. The record is from RNAcentral.
CAAUAGCGUAUAUUAAAGUUGUUGCAGUUAAAAAGCUCGUAGUUGGAUUUGUGGCGUACGGUGUGUUCCGGGCACUUGUUGUCUGAGUAACCUGCUGUUGCCAUCCUUGGGUGGAACCUGUGUGGCAUUAGGUUGUCGUGCAGGGGAUGCCCAUCAUUUACUGUGAAAAAAUUAGAGUGUUCAAAGCAGGCUUAUGCCGUUGAAUAUAUUAGCAUGGAAUAAUGAGAUAGGACUUUUUUGCUAUUUUGUUGGUUUGCGCAAGAAGGUAAUGAUUAAUAGGGACAGUUGGGGGUAUUCGUAUUCCAUUGUCAGAGGUGAAAUUCUUGGAUUUUUGGAAGACGAACUACUGCGAAAGCAUUUACCAGGGAUGUUUUCAUUAA